RNAcentral lists this ribosomal RNA (267 nucleotides) under Enterococcus faecium. RNAcentral's name for it is "partial 16S ribosomal RNA". It matches the Rfam family "Bacterial small subunit ribosomal RNA", at positions 1 to 246 of the family's 1533-position model. The record is from RNAcentral. Lineage: Bacteria; Bacillati; Bacillota; Bacilli; Lactobacillales; Enterococcaceae.
UUUUAUGAGAGUUUGAUCCUGGCUCAGGACGAACGCUGGCGGCGUGCCUAAUACAUGCAAGUCGAACGCUUCUUUUUCCACCGGAGCUUGCUCCACCGGAAAAAGAGGAGUGGCGAACGGGUGAGUAACACGUGGGUAACCUGCCCAUCAGAAGGGGAUAACACUUGGAAACAGGUGCUAAUACCGUAUAACAAUCGAAACCGCAUGGUUUUGAUUUGAAAGGCGCUUUCGGGUGUCGCUGAUGGAUGGACCCGCGGUGCAUUAGCU